UCAAGUCCGUCUUAAGCCCUAACGUUGUCGAGAAGUAUCGCCGGACCGUGCAGGCGACUUCGAACAGCCGCAGCGAAGACAGACGAGAACACGUUUUGAGUCGACAUUUCUAAACGUGGAAUGUUGGAUUGACUGUUGGUAAAUGGGAGUUCGCAAAACUCGCGGAAAUGAAGAGUUUUUUUGCUUGUAAAACGAUAAAAAAAGGCAAAUUUUUUGAACUUGAACUGAACGAAUGAGCGGUCGACGUUGCAAGGUACUUCCUGAGUUCGGUCCUGCAGAAAGAUGGUGGAGCUUGUUUUUGAAGACAUUUUCACUUUGACCAGACUGGAUCCAGAUAGUAAAAAGUUUGAUAAAGGGAAAUCUAUGCUUCUUUUGGUGGACUACCGAUGAUGCUGAAGGGGUAUCCUCCUGCAGCUCAGUUCGAGUUGGACCAAAGGCUUUUUCUUUUGAUGAGAAAAGUGUAAAUCGUACUGUCUAACUACGCCGAACCGAAUGAGACUUAUUUGUUGA
Musa acuminata subsp. malaccensis (wild Malaysian banana) is the source of this 510-nucleotide long non-coding RNA. RefSeq lists it as uncharacterized. Lineage: Eukaryota; Viridiplantae; Streptophyta; Magnoliopsida; Zingiberales; Musaceae. The record is from RefSeq and is a predicted model, not a curated record.